Molecule: ribosomal RNA, 173 nt
Filed under: Epalzeorhynchos kalopterus (flying fox)
Lineage: Eukaryota; Metazoa; Chordata; Actinopteri; Cypriniformes; Cyprinidae
Description: partial 12S rRNA
Source: RNAcentral
CACCGCGGUUAGACGAGAGGCCCCAGUUGAUUAUAUAACGGCGUAAAGGGUGGUUAAGGAGUUUAAUAAAAUAAAGCCAAAUGGCCCUUUGGCCGUCAUACGCUUCUAGGUGUCCGAAACCCAACACGAAAGUAGCUUUAGUAAUUCAACCCGACCCCACGAAAGCUGAGAAA